RNAcentral lists this ribosomal RNA (460 nucleotides) under uncultured bacterium. RNAcentral describes it as "partial 16S ribosomal RNA". It matches the Rfam family "Bacterial small subunit ribosomal RNA", at positions 338 to 795 of the family's 1533-position model. The record is from RNAcentral.
CCUACGGGGGGCAGCAGUGAGGAAUAUUGGUCAAUGGGCGAGAGCCUGGACCAGCCAAGUCGCGUGAAGGAUGACGGCCCUACGGGUUGUAAACUUCUUUUGUCAGGGAGCAAUUGGGUCCACGCGUGGGCUUAGCGAGAGUACCUGAAGAAAAAGCAUCGGCUAACUCCGUGCCAGCAGCCGCGGUAAUACGGAGGAUGCGAGCGUUAUCCGGAUUUAUUGGGUUUAAAGGGUGCGUAGGCGGGCUUUUAAGUCAGCGGUAAAAAUUCGGGGCUCAACCCCGUCCGGCCGUUGAAACUGGGGGCCUUGAGUGGGCGAGAAGAAGGCGGAAUGCGUGGUGUAGCGGUGAAAUGCAUAGAUAUCACGCAGAACCCCGAUUGCGAAGGCAGCCUUCCGGCGCCCUACUGACGCUGAGGCACGAAAGUGCGGGGAUCGAACAGGAUUAGAUACCCGGGUAGUC